Molecule: transfer RNA, 76 nt
Filed under: Agathobacter ruminis
Lineage: Bacteria; Bacillati; Bacillota; Clostridia; Lachnospirales; Lachnospiraceae
Description: tRNA-Gln
Rfam family: tRNA
About the family: Transfer RNA (tRNA) molecules are approximately 80 nucleotides in length. Their secondary structure includes four short double-helical elements and three loops (D, anti-codon, and T loops).
Source: RNAcentral
UGGCCCAUCGCCAAGCGGUAAGGCAACGGACUCUGACUCCGUCAUUUCCAAGGUUCGAAUCCUUGUGGGCCAGCUA